UUAUUUCUCCGAUCGUUCUACUUAUUGUAACUUCGCUAACACAAGGAAGAAGACAACUUGAUGAAACCGAUGAUUCACGGGAGGAGUAUGGAAGUAGCGAAAGCUGCGAGGAGGAAAAACAGCAUUCAGAUUACUUAUUAUACCAAAUUAACGCCAAACACGGCUACUACUUUCCUCGUCACAAAACACAAGAAAAAGUCGCCCUUUUAGACUACCGCAACAACGUCAGCGUUUUAUACGAUGGUCUAACAGGAGAUGCUUUCGGGUUUUUUUAUGAAAGAGGAAUUGGAUUUUACAUCCCAGCGGAAGUUACUGAUAAAACUUGGAACGUGAAGAAACAAAGUUACGAAGAGUAUUUCAAAGACCCAGUUCCACCACAAGAAAUUAUUUCUAUUGGUAAAAAAAAGGGAAUUCAGUUUGAUCCACAACUCAUUUCGGACGAAUUAGCCGAGAAGAU
Long non-coding RNA from Zophobas morio, 457 nucleotides. RefSeq lists it as uncharacterized. Lineage: Eukaryota; Metazoa; Arthropoda; Insecta; Coleoptera; Tenebrionidae. The record is from RefSeq and is a predicted model, not a curated record. The transcript is spliced from 3 exons.